AACCAACCACGUUCCAGCUCGGAUUGCCUCGUUCAGUGAAUCGGUAACUGUGGCAUGGAAAGAAGAACUCAGACUACCUUGCUUAACAGUGGGACAACCCGCUCCAAUUUUACGUUGGCACAAAAAUGGUAAAACAAUUCAAGGGAACAGGCACAUACAAAUAAACUCAGAAGGUACUGUUUAUAUAAGCUCCAUACAAAGCUCGGAUGCAGGAAAUUAUUCUUGCUUGGCGGAAAACGUUUUCGGAAAGGAAGAAAUAAUAUAUUUCGUGUCUGUUCAAGAAAGCAGGAGCAGAGGAAUUCCAUCUGCUCCAACAGAAUUUCAAGCAACUUCGCUUUCUACAUCCACUAUCACAGUGACAUGGCAAGCACCUCUAUCAAAAGGAAG
Molecule: long non-coding RNA, 387 nt
Organism: Schistocerca americana (American grasshopper)
Lineage: Eukaryota; Metazoa; Arthropoda; Insecta; Orthoptera; Acrididae
Exons: 4
Source: RefSeq, a predicted model, not a curated record